AUACAAUGAUGUGGACACCUCCUCAGCAACUCCUUAUAUCUCUCCCAUGCUUCAUACAAUGACUUUCAUUCUUGCUGUACAAAUGAUGUGAUUUCACCCCUUAAUUU
Abrus precatorius (Indian licorice) is the source of this 107-nucleotide small nucleolar RNA. Lineage: Eukaryota; Viridiplantae; Streptophyta; Magnoliopsida; Fabales; Fabaceae. The record is from RefSeq and is a predicted model, not a curated record.